CGUUAGCAGCACUGCAAGACAUACAUAACCUAUUUAUAUUUAUUUAUGUUUAUGUUAAUUAUAUAUUGUCGAGUCUAGUUAGUGCUUGGAAUACUUUUAUUGUUAUAAAACGGUAGAAAAACUCAAGAUGUCAACGGCACAAUCAAAUAUUGGAAAUGCUGAAGAUGAAGCCUUGAAACGAAAAGAAAAAUUGAUAGCUCUUAAAAGAAAACGGGAAAUAAGAUCUGAAAGUAAUUCUGAAAACUCAAAUGCAGAUGGUUUAUCUUUACCAAAACCUCAUUUCAGGAGUUACAAACCGACACAUGAAACAUUGCAAGAAUUUGUUUUGGAUCCCACUAAACCUGGAGAUGUUACAUCAGAGGUAAAAGAUCAACUAGAAUCCGCAAAAUCUGAAAUUGUUAUUGAUCAGCUUGAUGUUACCUCAUUAGCACCUAGAAAACCAGAUUGGGAUCUAAAAAGGGACGUAGCCAAAAAGUUGGAGAAGCUGGAACAUAAGACUCAAAAAGCUAUUGCUGAACUCAUCAGAGAGCGGUUGAGAGCAUCAAGUGGAGAAGGAGAUUUAGCAGCUAUGGUCAACACUGUGAACACUACAUCUGAAGUUGAGGAGUGACUUCAGUGGUUGAAGGAUGUUAAGACAUUCAGUGCGAUAGAUGCCAAGCGGCGGCAUCCGGCCAUUACACUUUGUAUAUCUCUCUCAUUGGGAUUUUGUAAAAAAUAGGCAUUGCCGUAAAUAAAUAAAUGUGUUAGUAUUAAGUCCGCAAUAGACAGAUGUGGUUAUAUUGCAGUCUGCACAUUUAAAUAGCAUUGUUCAAGAAGGUUUUUGGGUGUUUCAAAAUUUCGUGAAUUUUAAAACUUUUCAAGACAACUUUAAAUGUGAUUGAAGUAGACAAUAAUCAGGCCUGUUGUUUUGUGGCGAAGUAGACUAUUGUUCCGGCAGUACAUCACAAAUAAGUGAGUGUGAAUGUAAGACGACCAGAUAAAACCAGGUCAAGCAUUCACAGAAAGCAAAUGCGAAACCUUUAGAUGUUUGGUGCAUCAUAGCAAAAGAUGGAAGCGUAUGUACAUGUCAUGCACAGAUAUAGAAGCUGUGUGGCCAAUGCCAUCCAUGACACAGACGUUCCCAAUUGUACCAGUAGGUACAUGAAAUGGAUUGUGAGUUUAUUAA
This 1165-nucleotide unclassified non-coding RNA is filed under the name Leptinotarsa decemlineata (Colorado potato beetle). Its description in RNAcentral is "coiled-coil domain-containing protein 12, transcript variant X2". Lineage: Eukaryota; Metazoa; Arthropoda; Insecta; Coleoptera; Chrysomelidae. The record is from RNAcentral.